This 379-nucleotide ribosomal RNA is filed under the name uncultured bacterium. RNAcentral describes it as "bacterial SSU rRNA". It matches the Rfam family "Bacterial small subunit ribosomal RNA", at positions 438 to 807 of the family's 1533-position model. The record is from RNAcentral.
CUGGGGGAAGAACCCUGAGCGGGUUAAGAGCCCGUUCAGCUUGACGGUACCCCAGGAGAAAGCCACGGCUAACUGCGUGCCAGCAGCCGCGGUAAUACGCAGGUGGCGAGCGUUGCCCGGAAUCACUGGGCGUAAAGGGUGCGUAGGCGGCAGGGCAAGUCGCAGGUUAAAGCCCGGGGCUCAACCCCGGAAAGGCCUGCGAUACUGCCUUGCUUGAGGGCCGGAGAGGCUGGCGGAAUUCCCGGUGUAGGGGUGAAAUCCGUAGAUAUCGGGAGGAACACCGGUGGGGAAGCCGGCCAGCUGGACGGUCCCUGACGCUGAGGCACGAAAGCGUGGGGAGCAAACCGGAUUAGAUACCCGGGUAGUCCACGCCGUAAAC